AGCUGUGGUGGGUAGAUAAAACAUUUCUAUAACAUUCUUCUAGGGGUGCACAGACAGAGCUAAGAAAGUGUGGUGGUCUCUCUUGGCUUUGAUGUCUAUAACUUGUAAAGGGGGGUGGCAGUGAAAGGAACAUUUAUGAGAACUAUCUGUAAAGACGGAAGCCUGAACUUCAACAUACAAAGCUGCCUAUGGACAGUAAAGAUUCUAGGAAUUUGCUUUUGAUGAAACUUUUUAAACAAAUGGUAAAGUUUAAGAAUAAAUGAAGUUAUUUGAACAUCAGUAUGUAACCUUUAUGUCUGUUCACUGAACUCCUAAACUAGUGGGCGUAACCAUACAAUUACAUUAAUUUUGAGGAACACGUACUUCUUUUGGCCUCCAGUACGGCCUACAUCAUGUCUGCCAUGUGGUUUGCAGUACCUGGAGGAGGGUGUGGCAGGAAUGGCUGUAUGAACACAGAAAGACUUACUAAGGAGCUGCCUCUAUGUACUUUUAGGACACCAACUUUAGCUGAACGUUUUCUUCUCACUGCCAGUUAUUAUGCAGAGAUGUCCUGGUAAACUGUGCCCUUGGAAUGCACAACUACAAGUAGACUUCUGGAUGGUACCCUUUCUGUCUAAAACAACUCUUAAUUGUACAGGUCCCAACAUGGAUGGGGCACAACGGUAUUAUAUAAAAGAGCUUGGGGGACAAUAACCCAAUGAAGAAAAUUUUGUAGUACAAUCUGGAUCCUAUCUAGACCUGUGAAAGAACAGUGUGUAAUAUCUUCUUCAGCUCCUCUGUGGUGUCUCCCAACCUUCCUAUCUUAUAGUCUAAAAUCAACUCUGUGACUCAUAAAAUAAGGCCUGUUCUUUCUCCAAUUCCAUCAACUCCAUGCCUAUUAAUAUAUCUGGGUAUUUUUCCUCUUGCUGAGCAGAAGAAGAUAAUGAUUAUGUUAUGCUGCAUCAUCCUCAUCAUUAUCCUGGCUUCUACUAUUGGGAGCUUCUUUAUCUGACCCCUCAUUCCUUGUUCUUUGCCACUUGACUCAGGUAAGUCGUAUGCAAAUACAGAAGGUUAGUGUUAUCAUCUUAACCGGGGCAAUUGGGGUCCUCCAAAUUGCUGCUGAAUUUGGCUGCAUUUCUAUUUCCAUCUGGACCAGUACAGGUCUAGUGGUGGUGAGAAUGCUUCACCAGGUAAUGCUUCACUGGGGCAAUUGUUUGUAGAAAAAUAAUCAUCAACUUAAAGAAGCCUAUGCAAUCCGGGUAAGUGAGAAUAAAAGACAGACCAGAUUCUUAAAUUGUUAAAAACAAGUGAAAAGGUAAAAGGUAUCUAAUUCUAAUUUGUAGGAGGAGAAACUAUCUGCAUAUUAGGGGUGAAACCUCCAUGGCCCUUUUUGGUGAAUGUGCUAAAAUACCACUUGCUAUCUCUGCAUCUUUCAGUUUUCUUUCCCUUUCCUUUCAGGAUGGAUCUGUAAGAUGAUUUUGGCCUUUCAGGCUUCUCCAGUCCUUUCUCUCCCGUGCUUCCAUUUUUGGAGAUGUCACAGCCAACGAUUAACCUAUCAAAAUGUUUUAAUUGGACUCCAGGGUAUGAAAAGGAGAAGGAGCCAGAAUAGAGCCAAUGCUUAGGAACUUCAGCUUGGGAUGGGGGAGUGAACAUUAGAACACGGCGGUCUUUUUCAGAACAACUUCCUAACAUCAACCAAACUAACUCUUGAUUGAUCAAUCAACACUAAUACUUAGGUUUAAUGAGGCUUCGUUUCCAGUUAUGCUGGCUCCUUCUAUCCAGUGUAAAGUUUUUGGAACUGAAACCAAAUCUUGGGAGACAUUUGAAAUGAUUUUAAAUGAUUCUUAUGGAAGACAACAAUAAGCUAUAGAUCCCCCUGCCUUAUCUUUGCUCUAAAGAUACGAUUCAAAAUGUACAUGUACCUCCUUGCUUUGAAAUGUGAGGUGUUUUCCCGGCUGUACUUUCUGCUUAUGCUAUGUCAAAAGAAACAUGACGCCUUCCAAGACUCUCAUGUCCUAACUACAAUGGUAUGAGAUUAGACAUCUGGAUAACAAUCUGUCCCAGAUUUUCUCACCUUCUGAAUAAUAUCCAGUACAAUCUUUGUAAUCCUUGUCAUUCCAGUCACAGAUAUGUAUAUAUUUCUAGUUUGUUUAACUCUGUGACUGCAAAUUCUGGCCCAAGCUGCAGACAUCUCUAAUGGAGGCAGGGCUCUCACAUUCAUAAAGAUUUGUUUGGACACAAACUGUAUCAACGUAUCAAUUUUACAUACUGACUUAAUACAUUUCUUACAUUCUGAGAGAAAGUUUGUCUUUUAUUUGAACAAUGAAAACCUACUUAUUCAAACAUGUAACAUUUAUUGCUUUUGAUCAUGGCCCCAGCUGGGGUGAGAGAGAGUGGUUGGCACAUUAUUCAUUUGACCCUUUUAGCUUCCAUUUGGGUAAAAGUCUCACAUUUUCCCCUUGGAAGCGAACUAAUCAUUAGAUACGGGAAGGGAGAUCUUUGUAUAAUGAACUAUUCUUCCUUAUUCGUGCUGCAAAAGUUAUUCCAGAGUUAUUCUGCUAGUGUUCCAAAAGCAUAGGUGUUAACAAAGGAAUCUCCUGAAUAAAAAGUUUAUUUCAUCUAGAGUCAUGUGUGAUGGACUAAGUCAACAAAGAAUUGCUCAGAUACAGUAAUAUGUGGGGAAAAAAAUAGUUCAGGUCUUAGAAUCUCCUAGGAUCUUCCCAGUUCAGCUCCAAAUACUGGAAUAAGCUUCUUUUCCAUCUAAAUUUACAGCAGGUAAAUACACAGAUACACAUUUUUUUAAAAUUUUCAUUAAAGGUCGUCUGUACCAUCUGACUAGUAUUCAUUAGAGUCUUUUAAUUAACACACAAGAGGGGGAGCAACAACUGGCAGCUUAUAGUUUCGUUUUUACUUCUACAUUGAUCCCAGAAACAUUCUUAGUAAAUAAAAAUGGUGGGAUGGUAUGUGGGGAUGUCUUUGGGAGAGAGGAGGAAG
Non-coding RNA from Python bivittatus (Burmese python), 2973 nucleotides. The record is from RefSeq and is a predicted model, not a curated record. NCBI's taxonomy places the organism in Eukaryota, Metazoa, Chordata, Lepidosauria, Squamata, Pythonidae.